GAUGAACGCUGGCGGCGUGCCUAAUACAUGCAAGUCGAGCGGACGGACGAGAAGCUUGCUUCUCUGAUGUUAGCGGCGGACGGGUGAGUAACACGUGGAUCACCUACCUAUAAGACUGGGAUAACUUCGGGAAACCGUAGAUAAUACCGGAUAAUAUUUUGAACCGCAUGGUUCAAAAGUGAAAGACGGUCUUGCUGUCACUUAUAGAUGGAUCCGCGCUGCAUUAGCUAGUUGGUAAGGUAACGGCUUACCAAGGCAACGAUGCAUAGCCGACCGGAGAGGGGGGUAGGCCACACUGGAACUUAGACACGGUCCAGACUCCUACGGGAGGCAGCAGUAUGGUAUCUUCCGCAAUGGUCGAAAGCCUGACGGAGCAACGCCGCGUGAGUGAUGAAGGUCUUCGGAUCGUAAUACUCUGUUAUUAGGGAAGAACAUAUGUGUAAGUAACUGUGCACAUCGUGACGGUACCUAAUCAGAAAGCCACGGCUAACUACGUG
RNAcentral lists this ribosomal RNA (497 nucleotides) under uncultured bacterium. RNAcentral describes it as "partial 16S ribosomal RNA". It matches the Rfam family "Bacterial small subunit ribosomal RNA", at positions 28 to 507 of the family's 1533-position model. The record is from RNAcentral.